GAUGAACGCUGGCGGCGUGCCUAAUACAUGCCAGUCGAGCGAACGGACGAGAAGCUUGCUUUUCUGAUGUUAGCGGCGGACGGGUGAGUAACACGUGGAUAACCUACCUAUAAGACUGGGAUAACUUCGGGAAACCGGAGCUAAUACCGGAUAAUAUUUUGAACCGCAUGGUUCAAAAGUGAAAGACGGUCUUGCUGUCACUUAUAGAUGGAUCCGCGCUGCAUUAGCUAGUUGGUAAGGUAACGGCUCACCAAGGCAACGAUGCAUAGCCGACCUGAGAGGGUGAUCGGCCACACUGGAACUGAGACACGGUCCAGACUCCUACGGGAGGCAGCAGUAGGGAAUCUUCCGCAAUGGGCGAAAGCCUGACGGAGCAACGCCGCGUGAGUGAUGAAGGUCUUCGGAUCGUAAAACUCUGUUAUUAGGGAAGAACAUAUGUGUAAGUAACUGUGCACAUCUUGACGGUACCUAAUCAGAAAGCCACGGCUAACUACGUG
RNAcentral lists this ribosomal RNA (497 nucleotides) under uncultured bacterium. Its description in RNAcentral is "partial 16S ribosomal RNA". It matches the Rfam family "Bacterial small subunit ribosomal RNA", at positions 28 to 507 of the family's 1533-position model. The record is from RNAcentral.